GUAUCACCCCUCACGUCGCCUGGUCUUUUUGAAGGCUACCACGGCCCCCCGGGUGCCGUCCACGGCGCUGGCUCUGCAGAACUUCGACAUGAACUACAGCUUGCAGUUCAAGGACGCCUGGCCUUCAAUCCGGGUCAGCCUUCUGUCGGAGCAGAAAUACGGGGCCCUUGUCAACAACUUCGCCGACGUUGAGCGUGUCACCCGGGAGCUGGAGCAGUUAGAUGCUGUGGAUUUUAUUUCUGAAGCCUCCCGAAAGGCACGACGUUUGCAGCAGGAUUCGGUUGCGGAACGAGCAGAGAGGGAGGAAAGCACGUCCCAGGAAGCACCCGGCGAAUGCCAGAACGCCGUGCAAGCGGCAGAGGCACCACCGCCGCUUUCUGCCCCCAUCACCUCCAAUAUCAAGUGUUACACGUUCCCCAGAGGAGAUGUCACUCGCUUUCGUCCUGCUCGGCCAGACACUCUGGGAAUCCUCAGCUAUUACCUCAUGGAUGCAGCGUCUCUUUUGCCUGUUUUAGCACUUAAUGUUCAACCUGAUGAAUUUGUCCUUGACCUCUGUGCAGCUCCAGGUGGCAAGACUCUGGGUAUCCUGCAGACGGGGUUUUGCGGGUAUCUUGCAGCCAAUGAUGUUUCUGUUUCUCGCACAAAGAGACUGUACCAGAUUCUCAAUAGCUAUGUUCCCAAGCAAAUUAGGGAAACUGUUUGCAUCACUUCAUGGGAUGGAAGGAACUGGGGGGAACGGGAAGGUGGAACUUUCCAUAAGGUCCUUGUGGAUGUGCCCUGCACGACUGACAGGCACUCUGUCAUGGAGGAGGAGAACAACAUCUUCAACAGAAGGAGAUCCAAGGAACGUCAGAUGUUGCCAAUGCUGCAGUUGCAGCUGCUGGUAAAGAGCAACCUGAGGUCCUUUGAAGAAGAGAUUCUUAAGGAAGCUGUGGAGGUGGAGAUGUCCUUGUGAUGCUCGAGAUGUGCUGGUGGAAGGAAUGCAAUGCUGUGGCAAGACCUGCUUCAGUGUCCUGUCCCAGGGGUCAUCACAGUAUCCUUGAUAAAGCUUCAGCUCUUCUUCAUCAGCUUCUGUCACUGUGCUGACAGGUACAACCCCAGCAGGGAAGUUCAAGACAUUGUACAACAUCGUGGAGGAGAUAGCGGCUGAGAGAAGCAAAAGAAAGAUUGCAGGCCCUGGGGGACUGCAGUCUGAUGUGGAGAAUCACCGAAAAUGGAGGUGACAGACCAGACGCUGUUUUCCAUUCCCCCAUCCCAGGCAGGCCUGAAACAAGACUUCUUUGGUUAUCUCACACUUGCUGCUACCUUUUUGAUCCUGUUAGUUGAGAACAACCCAAUUGGACAGGAAGAGAGAAAACAAGAAGGAAGAGAGAAACCUACAAAAGGAUGCUCCUGGUGAAGGUGCUACAGUGAGCAUUAACCCUUAUUAACCGUGAGGAAUUGCCAUGAAAAUGAGCUCUUUGGAAAGCCUCAAACACAGGGCUAGAGCUUCACACUCCAGUCUGCCUGCUGCAGUGUUUCCCAGUUGCAUGAAUCAAUAGGAAACUGGGCACUGCUAGGUCUAGUGUUUGAAGAACUGCUUCCUGUGGGCUCUGAAAUAUUAUUUUACAACUCUUGGCUGGUCCUGUUCUCAUUUCCUUUUGGUACUACGUAAAUCCGAGCAAGAUGCCAGAAAA
Molecule: RNA transcript, 1676 nt
Organism: Rhea pennata
Lineage: Eukaryota; Metazoa; Chordata; Aves; Rheiformes; Rheidae
Gene: NSUN4
Gene name: NOP2/Sun RNA methyltransferase 4
Exons: 8
Source: RefSeq, a predicted model, not a curated record